CCAAACAGCUAGCUCAACCAUUAAAACUUUAAAUUACAUAAUUAACAAAUUUUACUUAACCCAACAAUUAGUAAUCAAAUCAUUUUCCUGCCUUAGUAUGGGCGACAGAAAAGGCACCAGAAGCAAUAGAACCAGUACCGCAAGGGAAAGCUGAAAGAGAAAUGAAAUAAACCAUUUAAGCCCAAAAAAGCAGAGAUUUACCCUCGUACCUUUUGCAUCAUGAUUUAGUUAGAACUUUUGAGCAAAGAGAAACUAUAGUUCUUAACCCCGAAACCAAGUGAGCUACCCCGAGACAGCCUAUAUUAGGGCCAACCCGUCUCUGUGGCAAAAGAGUGGGAAGAUCUCCGGGUAGGGGUGACAGACCUAUCGAACUUGGUGAUAGCUGGUUGCCUAAGAAAUGGAUAUAAGUUCAGCCUUGUACUCCCCCACCCACAUGCACUACUGCCCUAUGGAAUGGAGAAAAUUACAAGAGUUAGUCAAAGGGGGUACAGCCCCUUUGAACCAGGACACAACCUGACCCAGGAGGUUAAGAGUCACACUCAAUAAGAUAUACAGCUUUAGUGGGCUUAAAAGCAGCCACCUACUUAGAAAGCGUUAAAGCUCAAGCAAACCCAACAAUCUAUUAUCCUGAUAAACAAACCCUACACCCCUAUUAAUAUUAGGCCUUUCCAUGCCCCCAUGGAAGAGACACUGCUAAAAUGAGUAACAAGAAGGCAAACCCUUCUCCAUGCCCACGUAUAAAUUAGAUCGGACCUACCACUAAUAAUUAACGAACCCAAUAAAAGAGGGAAAAGUGAUCAUUCAAUGAAACCAAGAAAACCCCACAACAAAAAUAUCGUUAACCCCACACCGGAGGGCUUCAAGGAAAGAUUAAAAGAAAAGGAAGGAACUCGGCAAACACAAGCCUCGCCUGUUUACCAAAAACAUCGCCUCCUGCAAAAAUCAACGUAUAAGAGGUCCUACCUGCCCAGUGACUAAGUUAAACGGCCGCGGUAUUUUGACCGUGCAAAGGUAGCGCAAUCACUUGUCUUUUAAAUAAAGACCUGUAUGAAUGGUGAAACGAGGGCUUAACUGUCUCCCUUUUCUAAUCAGUGAAAUUGAUCUGCCCGUGCAGAAGCGGGUAUAAAUAUACAAGACGAGAAGACCCUAUGGAGCUUUAGACAUAAAGCCAUCUAUGUUAAAAAUCCCUUAUAAAAGGAGCAAAACAAAAUAGUAACUGGCCAACGUCUUCGGUUGGGGCGACCACGGGGAAAAGCAAAUCCCCCACGUGGAACGGGAAAACCUCCUAAAACCACGAGGUACACCUCUAAGUCACAGUAUUUCUGACCAAAGGAUCCGGCACUUAGCCGAUCAACGAACCAAGUUACCCUAGGGAUAACAGCGCAAUCCCCUUCGAGAGUCCUUAUCGACAAGGGGGUUUACGACCUCGAUGUUGGAUCAGGACAUCCUAAUGGUGCAGCCGCUAUUAAGGGUUCGUUUGUUCAACGAUUAAAGUCCUACGUGAUCUGAGUUCAGACCGGAGUAAUCCAGGUCAGUUUCUAUCUGUAAAGUUACUUCUCCUAGUACGAAAGGACCGGAGACAUAAGGCCCCUAUCUCCAAUACGCCUUACUUCUACUUAAUGAUAUCAACUUAAUUAAAUAAAGAAGAACAUAAAAUACCCAAAGACAUUUGGAG
Molecule: ribosomal RNA, 1675 nt
Filed under: Gymnocorymbus ternetzi (black tetra)
Lineage: Eukaryota; Metazoa; Chordata; Actinopteri; Characiformes; Acestrorhamphidae
Description: 16S ribosomal RNA
Rfam family: Bacterial large subunit ribosomal RNA (bases 84-1572)
Source: RNAcentral